This is a non-coding RNA of Leptosomus discolor (cuckoo roller), 133 nucleotides long. The record is from Rfam. NCBI's taxonomy places the organism in Eukaryota, Metazoa, Chordata, Aves, Leptosomiformes, Leptosomidae.
GCAUCUGGAUCUUUCCCACUCCUUGUAGUACAGUGCUGGACUGGGGACACACGAUGCAACAGGAAAGCAGAGGAAAUCCAGACAAGCUCCCUUUCACCACAGUGGGACUUGUCUCUACGCCUUUGCAACAUUU